RNAcentral lists this ribosomal RNA (253 nucleotides) under uncultured bacterium. RNAcentral's name for it is "partial 16S ribosomal RNA". It matches the Rfam family "Bacterial small subunit ribosomal RNA", at positions 524 to 776 of the family's 1533-position model. The record is from RNAcentral.
UACGGGGGGGGCAAGCGUUGUUCGGAAUUACUGGGCGUAAAGGGCUCGUAGGUGGCCAACUAAGUCAGACGUGAAAUCCCUCGGCUUAACCGGGGAACUGCGUCUGAUACUGGAUGGCUUGAGUUCGGGAGAGGGAUGCGGAAUUCCCGGUGUAGUGGUGAUAUGCGUAGAUAUCGGGAGGAACACCUGUGGCGAAGGCGGCUUUCUGGGCCUUACCUGACGCUGAGACGCGAAAGCGUGGGGAGCGAACCGG